This 520-nucleotide ribosomal RNA is filed under the name uncultured Entrophospora. RNAcentral's name for it is "SSU rRNA". It matches the Rfam family "Eukaryotic small subunit ribosomal RNA", at positions 569 to 1085 of the family's 1831-position model. Lineage: Eukaryota; Fungi; Glomeromycota; Glomeromycetes; Entrophosporales; Entrophosporaceae. The record is from RNAcentral.
AGCAGCCGCGGUAAUUCCAGCUCCAAUAGCGUAUAUUAAAGUUGUUGCAGUUAAAAAGCUCGUAGUUGAAUUUCGGGAUUGGCGCAUCGGUCGUGCCUCACGGGGUAUGAACUGGUGCAGUCAAUUUCUCACCUUCUGGAGAACCGCGAUGUCCUUAAUUGGAUGCCGCGGGGAACCAGGACCUUUACUUUGAAAAAUUAGAGUGUUUAAAGCAGGCAUUUUUGCUUGAAUACAUUAGCAUGGAAUAAUAAAAUAGGACGGCAUGGUUCUAUUUUGUUGGUUUCUAGGACCACCGUAAUGAUUAAUAGGGAUAGUUGGGGGCAUUAGUAUUCAAUUGUCAGAGGUGAAAUUCUUGGAUUUAUUGAAGACUAACUACUGCGAAAGCAUUUGCCAAGGAUGUUUUCAUUAAUCAAGACGAAAGUUAGGGGAUCGAAGACGAUCAGAUACCGUCGUAGUCUUAACCAUAAACUAUGCCGACUAGGAAUCAGACGAUGUUAAUUUUUUAAUGACUCGUUUGGCA